GACGAACGCUGGCGGCGUGCCUAAUACAUGCAAGUAGAACGCUGAAGGAGGAGCUUGCUCUUCUGGAUGAGUUGCGAACGGGUGAGUAACGCGUAGGUAACCUGCCUGGUAGCGGGGGAGAACUAUUGGAAACGAUAGCUAAUACCGCAUAACAGUAGAUGUUGCAUGACAUUUACUUAAAAGGUGCAAUUGCAUCACUACCAGAUGAACCUGCGUUGUAUUAGCUAGUUGGUGGGGAAACGGCUCACCAAGGCGACGAUACAGAGCCGACCUGAGAGGGGGCUCGGCCCACCUUGGACUGGGACCACGCCCCGGCUCCUUCGGGGGGCAACCGUAGGGAAUCUUCGGCCAUGGACGGAAGUCUGACCGGGCCACGCCGCGUGAGUGGAGGAGGUUUUCGGGUCGUAAAGCUCUGUUGUAAGGGAAGAACGAGUGUGAGAGUGGAAAGUUCACACUGUGACGGUAUCUUACCAGAAAGGGACGGCUAACUACGUG
Molecule: ribosomal RNA, 495 nt
Filed under: uncultured bacterium
Lineage: Bacteria
Description: partial 16S ribosomal RNA
Rfam family: Bacterial small subunit ribosomal RNA
Source: RNAcentral